UGAAUACGAGAUGCUACGGCAUUGAAGCAGUCUAUGUCAGACUUCCAAGAAAAGCUCGCAAUGUCAUAAACAAGAAAUGCCUGUACCAUAACCGACACAGGUGGGUAGGUAGAGUAUACUAAGGGGCGCGAGAUAACUCUCUCUAAGGAACUCGGCAAAAUGACUCCGUAACUUCGGGAGAAGGAGUGCCUUAUUUGAUAAGGUUGCAAUAACAAGAUCCAAGCAACUGUUUGCCAAAAACACAGGUCUCCGCUAAGUCGUAAGACGAUGUAUGGGGGCUGACGCCUGCCCAGUGCCAGAAGGUUAAAGAAGUUGGUUAGCCUAGCGAAGCUGAUGACUGAAGCCCUGGUGAACGGCGGCCGUAACGAUAACGGUCCUAAGGUAGCGAAAUUCCUUGUCGGGUAAGUUCCGACCCGCACGAAAGGCGUAAUGAUUUGGAUACUGUCUCGGAGAGGGGCUCGGUGAAAUAGACUUGUCUGUGAAGAUGCGGACUACCUGCACCUGGACAGAAAGACCCUAUGAAGCUUUACUGUAACUUGAGAUUGAAAUUGGACUUUAUUUGCGCAGUAUAGGUGGGAGACGUUGAGAAUAUUCUUGCGGGAGUAUUGGAGUCAUCAGUGAGAUACCACUCUUGUAAUGUUAGAUUUCUAACUUUGGAUCAUUAUCUGGUCAAAGGACAGUUUCAGGCGGGCAGUUUGACUGGGGCGGUCGCCUCCCAAACGGUAACGGAGGCGCACAAAGGUUUCCUCUGAACGUGUAGAAAUCGUAUCUAGAGUGUAAAGGCAUAAGGAAGCUUGACUGUGAGACCUACAAGUCGAGCAGGGACGAAAGUCGGUCUUAGUGAUCUGACGGUGCUGAGUGGAAAGGCCGUCACUCAACGGAUAAAAGUUACUCUAAGGAUAACAGGCUGAUCUCCCCCAAGAGUUCACAUCGACGGGGAGGUUUGGCACCUCGAUGUCGGCUCAUCGCAUCCUGGGGCGGUAGUACGUCCCAAGGGUUGGGCUGUUCGCCCAUGAAAGCGGUACGCGAGCUGGGUUCAGAACGUCGUGAGACAGUUCGGUCCAUAUCCGGUGUAGGCGUUAGAAUAUUGAGAGGAGCCUUCUUUAGUACGAGAGGACCGAGAAGGACAUACCUCUGGUGUACCAGUUAUCGUGCCAACGGUAAACGCUGGGUAGCUAUGUAUGGAGAGGAUAACCGCUGAAAGCAUCUAAGUGGGAAGCCCACCUCAAGAUGAGUAUUCUGGUGUAAGGUCACGGGAAGACGACCCGUAAAUAGGCACGAGGUGGAAGUGCAGAGAUGUAUGAAGCCGAAGUGUACUAAUAGACC
This 1326-nucleotide ribosomal RNA is filed under the name metagenome. RNAcentral describes it as "bacterial LSU rRNA". It matches the Rfam family "Bacterial large subunit ribosomal RNA", at positions 1564 to 2910 of the family's 2925-position model. The record is from RNAcentral.